Molecule: long non-coding RNA, 1207 nt
Organism: Melanotaenia boesemani (Boeseman's rainbowfish)
Lineage: Eukaryota; Metazoa; Chordata; Actinopteri; Atheriniformes; Melanotaeniidae
Exons: 3
Source: RefSeq, a predicted model, not a curated record
UGGAAGGAGAGCACAGAGACGGAUCCAAACCAUGGAGCUUAUGCAGCUGUUAUAAAGCAAAGCAGGAAGGAGGGUGGAGACAAUGAUAAUAAUCCAGACUGUGUUACAUAUGCUGCCGUUACAAAGGAGAAGAAGAAGAAAGAUCCAUUCCCUCCCACAACCAGCAUCGAGCCAUGUCCAGAGGAGGAUCCCAUCUAUUCUUCCAUCAUCUAAGAGCAAGCCUGCACAGAUUUAUUAAAUGUGUGUCUAUUUUACAUGAAACUAUACAUUAUAUUAUAAAUAUGUUAGUAUACUUCCACUCUUACCAGAAACAGCAUUAAAUCAUUUGUUACUUUGGGGUUUAAACUGUGUUUUAUAGGAUGAAACCAGGUGAUGCCCAGUGCAGCGUCUGUGUAAGCAGGAAGUCUUUGUUCACACACGUUUUCUUCAAUACAUUUUAGUUCUCAUUUCUGAAUCAAAUUAAUGUCUUAAAUCUGUAAAAACACUUAAUUUUCUGUAUUUCUAAUUAUAUAUUUCGUCAGGGGAUCAAUCUAAUGUGUGAACCACUUUUAACUUUUAAAACACACUGAUAAAGAAAAGACUACACUCAGUUUUUUGUGGCUAUAAAAGUACAGGACCGAUGCAACACGUAAUGGAGAAGUGGUCGGGGUGAACUUUUACUCUGCAGAAGAGAAAUCAACCAAGAAGCCAAAGAAGAUUCCCUCUGUGGAAGUAACAGCUUCCACAGAGGGUCUUCAUUUCAGCAGCGUGUGGAAAAUUAUGCAUCCAUAAACACGUCCACGUCUAUGUUUGAAGAACUGAUUAAAGGAAGUGAAAAACUACCAGGACUGUUUUUGUUUUACUAGAAAUAACAGUUUGAUCUACAGUUCAGACAGAGGACUGAUGAAGCUGCACAUAGCAACACAUCACCAGUUUAUUAUUGUUUAUGCAUCAGUUAAUGUACAGAGAAUGUAGAGAGAGGGAUUCGUGGAUGUACAGGAAACAAUGAAGCUUUGUUGACUCAAAAAGCUUUAAAAAUUUCAGAUAAAAAAAAAAAACUCAUCAUCAUCUUAAAGAAACAUGAUUAAUUAAGUUGGAAAACAUUAUUAAAUAUGCAGAUUUUAUCCUGGUCUGUAAAAUCCUUCUUGGAAAAAACCCCACUUAUUAAAAAAAAUCAAAGCAGGUGAACCAGGCAAGUUCCAAAGGCGACUAGUUGCAUCCAGAGGUG